This 615-nucleotide ribosomal RNA is filed under the name uncultured bacterium. RNAcentral describes it as "bacterial SSU rRNA". It matches the Rfam family "Bacterial small subunit ribosomal RNA", at positions 594 to 1208 of the family's 1533-position model. The record is from RNAcentral.
GUGAAAGCCUGUGGCUCAACCACAGAAUGGCCUUCGAUACUGGGACGCUUGAGUAUGGUAGAGGUUGGUGGAACUGCGAGUGUACAGGUGAAAUUCGUAGAUAUUCGCGAGAACACCGGUGGCGAAGGCGGCCAACUGGACCAUUACUGACGCUGAGGCGCGAAAGCGUGGGGAGCAAACAGGAUUAGAUACUCUGGUAGUCCACGCCGUAAACGAUGAAUGCCAGCUGUUGGGGUGCUUGCACCGCAGUAGCGCAGCUAACGCUUUGAGCAUUCCGCCUGGGGAGUACGGUCGCAAGAUUAAAACUCAAAGGAAUUGACGGGGGCCCGCACAGGCCGGUGGAGCAUGUGGUUUAAUUCGAAAGCAACGCGCAGAACCUUACCAUCCUUUGACAUGGCGUGUUACCCAGAGAGAUUUGGGGUCCAGUUCGGUGGCGCGCACACAGGUGCUGCAUGGCCGUCGUCAGCUCGUGUCGUGAGAUGUUGGGUUAAGUCCCGCAACGAGCGCAACCCACGUCCUUAGUUGCCAUCAUUCAGUUGGGCACUCUAGGGAGACUGCCGGUGAUAAGCCGCGAGGAAGGUGUGGAUGACGUCAAGUCCUCAUGGCCCUUACGGG